AGUGAACGCUGGCGGUAGGCCUAACACAUGCAAGUCGAACGGCAGCACAGUAAGAGCUUGCUCUUACGGGUGGCGAGUGGCGGACGGGUGAGGAAUACAUCGGAAUCUACUUUUUCGUGGGGGAUAACGUAGGGAAACUUACGCUAAUACCGCAUACGACCUACGGGUGAAAGCAGGGGAUCUUCGGACCUUGCGCGAUUGAAUGAGCCGAUGUCGGAUUAGCUAGUUGGCGGGGUAAAGGCCCACCAAGGCGACGAUCCGUAGCUGGUCUGAGAGGAUGAUCAGCCACACUGGAACUGAGACACGGUCCAGACUCCUACGGGAGGCAGCAGUGGGGAAUAUUGGACAAGGGGCGCAAGCCUGAUCCAGCCAUACCGCGUGAGUGAAGAAGGCCUUCGGGUUGUAAAGCCCUUUUGUUGGGAAAGAAAAGCAGCAGGUUAAUACCCCGCUGUUCUGACGGUACCCAAAGAAUAAGCACCGGCUAACUUCGUG
RNAcentral lists this ribosomal RNA (492 nucleotides) under uncultured bacterium. RNAcentral's name for it is "partial 16S ribosomal RNA". It matches the Rfam family "Bacterial small subunit ribosomal RNA", at positions 29 to 507 of the family's 1533-position model. The record is from RNAcentral.